UGUUUUAUAUAUUUAAAUAGAUUAUUCCAAGGAGGGAUCCAAAGGCUUCACCAGACUAAAAAAGAACCAUGGCAUUUGUGAAGGUUAAGUUCCCCAGCAUGAGGGAUAAAUGUCAUCAGCCAAUUAACCCCACCCCCCAAACUCACAUGUUUAGGAUGUGGAUGAAACCAGAAAUCAGAGGAAACCUGUGGCAGGAAAACUCCACACAGAUAGCACACAAGAUCAAGACUGCUUCACUGUGCUGCCCUAAAUUACAAGGUCCAAGCUGAAUAUUCUGGACCCUAAUCCUGGAUUCACCUCUGGAUAUGCAGCUCACUUGCAUUCCAGUGUCUCAGUAGUGGUUUGGAUGUGGAGGCUUCAAUGAACCAGAUGACUAACCAUCAGGACCUUUCAACCAUCAGAGUAUUAUGGAGCAUCUACAUCUCAAAGAUAGUGCUGCAGCUGCAAGCUAUGAACUUAUCAAUCACCCCAUGCUGUGGGCCACUUCUGGAGGUACAAGACACCGACUUCCACAAAGAAGGGAUCUGUAUGCUCCAUGACCACUGGACUAAGUGUGUAAAUGUAGGAAAAAUAAAUGUGC
Hypanus sabinus (Atlantic stingray) is the source of this 580-nucleotide long non-coding RNA. RefSeq lists it as uncharacterized. The record is from RefSeq and is a predicted model, not a curated record. Lineage: Eukaryota; Metazoa; Chordata; Chondrichthyes; Myliobatiformes; Dasyatidae. The transcript is spliced from 3 exons.